UUAUCGGAGAGUUUGAUCCUGGCUCAGGACGAACGCUGGCGGCGUGCCUAAUACAUGCAAGUCGAGCGGACAGAUGGGAGCUUGCUCCCUGAUGUUAGCGGCGGACGGGUGAGUAACACGUGGGUAACCUGCCUGUAAGACUGGGAUAACUCCGGGAAACCGGGGCUAAUACCGGAUGCUUGUUUGAACCGCAUGGUUCAGACAUAAAAGGUGGCUUCGGCUACCACUUACAGAUGGACCCGCGGCGCAUUAGCUAGUUGGUGAGGUAACGGCUCACCAAGGCGACGAUGCGUAGCCGACCUGAGAGGGUGAUCGGCCACACUGGGACUGAGACACGGCCCAGACUCCUACGGGAGGCAGCAGUAGGGAAUCUUCCGCAAUGGACGAAAGUCUGACGGAGCAACGCCGCGUGAGUGAUGAAGGUUUUCGGAUCGUAAAGCUCUGUUGUUAGGGAAGAACAAGUGCCGUUCAAAUAGGGCGGCACCUUGACGGUACCUAA
This 499-nucleotide ribosomal RNA is filed under the name Bacillus velezensis. RNAcentral's name for it is "bacterial SSU rRNA". It matches the Rfam family "Bacterial small subunit ribosomal RNA", at positions 1 to 482 of the family's 1533-position model. The record is from RNAcentral. Lineage: Bacteria; Bacillati; Bacillota; Bacilli; Caryophanales; Bacillaceae.